This is a long non-coding RNA of Felis catus (domestic cat), 1845 nucleotides long. RefSeq lists it as uncharacterized. The transcript has 2 exons. The record is from RefSeq and is a predicted model, not a curated record. Lineage: Eukaryota; Metazoa; Chordata; Mammalia; Carnivora; Felidae.
CCCGGCUGUUCGGGGCCGCACUCUUGUCAAGAGUGUUGGUCCCGAUCGGUUGGCCUUGCCUCUCAUUGUAAUAAACUUUGUUGUGACUGUCACUGGUGCCUGUAGCAUUCUGUUUCAGGAGUCGUGAAUGCAAUACAGGGACCUGAGACAACAAGGAGGAAAGCGAAAGCAGAUCGCAUGGCGUCUAAUUCAGAUUAUUCCCGAGAGGCCUGGCAUUCAUUCCUUCAAGAAACACCUAUGGCUAUUUUGGAAGUGCAAAGGGAAACAAGGAGACCUUCAGUGGCUCCUUUAAGAGAUAUGGGCCCACCUCCUAACGAGGUGCAGGAACACCACCAGGUUAUCCCACAAACCAUUUUGCAAUCCCCUGAAGGAAGAAUUCAUUCUGAUCUUUGGAAGUUAUAUGCUGCCUUUGAUAAAAUGUAUACUGAUGACAGCUUUAGUUUUCCAGAUUAUUAUCUUUCUCCAGUCCUACAAUUGCGUGCCUGUGUUCCUCCUCCCUACUAUUUGAUUGUUGGAGAUGGAGCCAUUACUCCAGUGAAAGAAGAUGGUCAUCAGUUAUACCGGCUGACUUGUCCUGCUUGUGUUUUGACCACUUGUCUACUAGUAGAGGGGCCCUCUAGAAGUGAAAUGAAGGUUUAUCUGGUCUUACAACCUCCCUAUUGGAUGUUGCCAGUAAAUGUUACAGGACCUUGGUAUCCUAAUUAUGGGAUUCAAUUGGCCUUAGAAAUCAGUAAACGGCUGCACAGGACCAGACGGUUUCUUGGACUCUUGAUUGCUGGACUCAUAGCAACAGUGACUGUAAUUGCCUCUGCAACUGUAUCUGUGAUAUCUUUACAUGAAAGUGCCCAAACGGCAUCCCAUGUAAAUGAAUUGGCUCAUAAUAUAUCCAAGGUGCUUGCCACUCAAGAGUGAAUAGACCGUAAACUGGAAGCCCAGUUGCAGGCACUACAAGAAGCAUUGAUGUAUCUUGGUGAUCAGUUUGCUGUUUUGCGUACCAGACUUUCUUUAAUUUGUCAUGAUGCAUAUAAACAUAUCUGUGUUACCCCGUUAGAGUAUACCAAUAUGACACGGGGACAAGUGCGUCGUCAUUUACAAGGGGUUUGGCAAGACGCUAUCACUAGCUUAGACCUCUUACAGCUACAAGAAGAGAUAAAUGCUAUUGCAAGUAACUCACUCAGUUUCCCUGACCCUGGAGAUCUCGCUGGAACCAUACUGCACCAACUUAAUGGGUUUAAUCCAUUUAAUAUUCUUCAGCAUUCCUUUUGGAUCUUUAUUGAAAUUGUUUCCGUAAUAUCUGUUAUACUUAUGUUACUGUGUUGAUUCUGGAGAUGGGGUCUCACUGCCUUUACCACAUACCAAGCCAGGAUGCACAUGUUGCAAUUACAAACAAUAGGGGGAAAUGUAGGAGGCCGGACCCCGGAGCCAGGCUGAGACCGGGUUGAGCAACGGCUCCCUGUUGACUCAGCCAACCCGGUGGUUCCCCUUCCCAUUCCCCCACUUGCAAAGGCAUACGAAAGCCUCGCCAAGGCUGAGAAAUCUAAUUCCUGAAGCCUGCGGUCUGUGGGUGUUGGCAGUAAUGUUACCCCCCUUUCUACCCCGGGUCAAAUAGAAACAAACACGGGAACUGUGUUUUGCUAGCAAUCUACCAACAGGACCUUGCUGUGACCCGUUUAGAAAGUUCACAACGUACACAGAACUAAAAUGUUUUGGUUGGCAGCGAUCAUGCGAAACCUGUUUAUUCUUAGAAUGACCUGACCCCUAAGAGUCUUGAUAUAAAAGACUGUGUACAGCAACAAUAAAGCCGUCACUUGGGCCAUCAGCCCAGGGGACCCUCCUGUUCCCAAA